CCUACGGGAGGCAGCAGUGAGGAAUAUUGGUCAAUGGGAGAGAUCCUGAACCAGCCAAGCCGCGUGAGGGAAGACGGCCCUAUGGGUUGUAAACCUCUUUUGUCGGAGAACAAAACCCGGGACGUGUCCCGGACUGCGUGUAUCCGAAGAAAAAGCAUCGGCUAACUCCGUGCCAGCAGCCGCGGAAAUACGGGGGAUGCGAGCGUUAUCCGGAUUUAUUGGGGUUAAAGGGUGCGUAGGCGGUCCGUUAAGUCAGCGGUAAAAUUGAGGGGCUCAACCCCGUCGAGCCGUUGAAACUGGCAGACUGGAGUUGGCGAGAGGUACGCGGAAUGCGCGGUGUAGCGGUGAAAUGCAUAGAUAUCGCGCAGAACUCCGAUGGCGAAGGCAGCGUACCGGCGCCAGACUGACGCUGAGGCACGAAAGCGUGGGGAUCGAACAGGAUUAGAUACCCCUGUAGUC
Molecule: ribosomal RNA, 459 nt
Filed under: uncultured bacterium
Lineage: Bacteria
Description: partial 16S ribosomal RNA
Rfam family: Bacterial small subunit ribosomal RNA
Source: RNAcentral